This 483-nucleotide ribosomal RNA is filed under the name uncultured bacterium. Its description in RNAcentral is "partial 16S ribosomal RNA". It matches the Rfam family "Bacterial small subunit ribosomal RNA", at positions 28 to 523 of the family's 1533-position model. The record is from RNAcentral.
GACGAACGCUGGCGGCGUGCUUAACACAUGCAAGUCGAACGAUGAAGCUGGAGCUUGCUCCGGUGGAUUAGUGGCGAACGGGUGAGUAACACGUGAGCAAUCUGCCCUUGACUCUGGGAUAACUGCGGGAAACUGUAGCUAAUACCGGAUACUUUCACUGGAAGGCAUCUUCUGGUGAAGAAAGAAUUUCGGUCAAGGAUGAGCUCGCGGCCUAUCAGCUUGUUGGUGAGGUAACGGCUCACCAAGGCGACGACGGGUAGCCGGCCUGAGAGGGUGACCGGCCACACUGGGACUGAGACACGGCCCAGACUCCUACGGGAGGCAGCAGUGGGGAAUAUUGCACAUGGGCGCAAGCCUGAUGCAGCAACGCCGCGUGAGGGAUGAAGGCCUUCGGGUUGUAAACCUCUUUUAGCAGGGAAGAAGCGAAAGUGACGGUACCUGCAGAAAAAGCACCGGCUAACUACGUGCCAGCAGCCGCAGUAA